Molecule: transfer RNA, 72 nt
Filed under: Trichonephila inaurata madagascariensis
Lineage: Eukaryota; Metazoa; Arthropoda; Arachnida; Araneae; Nephilidae
Rfam family: tRNA
About the family: Transfer RNA (tRNA) molecules are approximately 80 nucleotides in length. Their secondary structure includes four short double-helical elements and three loops (D, anti-codon, and T loops).
Source: Rfam by way of RNAcentral
GUCCCUGUAGCGCAAUGGGUGGCGCGUUGCAUUUCAAAUCCAAAGGACGUGGUUCGAAUCCUACCUGGGAUA